This 269-nucleotide ribosomal RNA is filed under the name uncultured prokaryote. RNAcentral's name for it is "partial 16S ribosomal RNA". It matches the Rfam family "Bacterial small subunit ribosomal RNA", at positions 524 to 792 of the family's 1533-position model. The record is from RNAcentral.
GACGAAGGUGGCGAGCGUUGUUCGGUGUUACUGGGCUUAAAGCGUGUGUAGGCGGAAAGGUAAGCGUUUUGUGAAAUCCCUCGGCUUAACCGAGGAAUUGCUGGACGAACUGUCUUUCUUGAGGCAAGUAGGGGUGCACGGAACUCUUGGUGGAGCGGUGGAAUGUGUAGAUAUCAAGAGGAACGCCAGUGGUGAAAACGGUGCACUGGGCUUGUCCUGACGCUGAGACACGAAAGCGUGGGGAGCGAACGGGAUUAGAUACCCUCGUA